UGGCAGGGUAACGGCCUACCAAAGCGACGAUCCAUAGCCGGCCUGAGAGGGUGGACGGCCACAUUGGGACUGAGACACGGCCCAGACUCCUACGGGAGGCAGCAGUGGGGAAUAUUGCACAAUGGGGGAAACCCUGAUGCAGCGACGCCGCGUGAAGGAAGAAGUAUUUCGGUAUGUAAAGCUCUAUCAGCAGGGAAGAAAUUGACGGUACCUGACUAAGAAGCACCGGCUAAAUAC
This 237-nucleotide ribosomal RNA is filed under the name uncultured bacterium. Its description in RNAcentral is "partial 16S ribosomal RNA". It matches the Rfam family "Bacterial small subunit ribosomal RNA", at positions 250 to 504 of the family's 1533-position model. The record is from RNAcentral.